RNAcentral lists this small RNA (833 nucleotides) under Pongo abelii (Sumatran orangutan). RNAcentral's name for it is "processed transcript". Lineage: Eukaryota; Metazoa; Chordata; Mammalia; Primates; Hominidae. The record is from RNAcentral.
GCCAUACCAGUGACCUUUUCUAUUUCCUAGUAAACAAACUUCAUGAGUACUUGCCGGAGUCUAGGGAUAAGAAUGCACUUCAAAAUCAAAGCCAAAGGGUUGAUGAGCUGGUGGCAUGCAUUGAAAUUAUACAGACCCUAGUAUUGAUGUUCAGAGAAACAGAAACUGAGUCCUCACGCCUGAACACAUUGGCAGCUAAGAAUUACAGAAGCUUAUUCUGGAGUAUACAAAUACCGCUACAGCACUUUUAUAUGAGAUACUUCUUGUCUUUCAGCAGGGAAAUCUCGGAUUGGGAUCCACAAAGUUUGCUAUUAGUUGGAUAAUGUCCUUUCUACAAAGCUGUCCUCCCAUUAUUACUUUUGUGGCCAGUAUUGUGAAACAAGUGGUGAGGGGGCUUUCAGCUUCAUUUCAGCUGCUAAGUCCCUGCCAAGCAGUUCUGUUGUACCAGCAAUUUUACAUCCUCAAGAGCUGUCUGCGGCACAGCAGGACUCUAGCUGAGUAUAUUAGGAAUAACUACAGAGAAGAAUUCAGGUACUUUAUUCACAUGCCAGCCUUGCAGAAAAGGCUCCCAUUGUGUUACCCCAUCACUCAACCUACCACUCAACUUUUUCAUGAAGUUCUGAAAUUGGUUGAAUAGAAACAAUGUACACAAUGUUAAUAAGAGUAUAAAGUGUUAAUCAAGAGUCAACUUGAUAUUCAUGAGAAACAUUGUUUGAUUUGUUUAAUAUUUGGCUAUCUCUGAGUCCUAUAAACAAAGAUUUUAAUUGAAUGGUCCAUCAAUACCUCUCUAUGAGAAGUUUAAAAUUUUUAAAAAUAAAUUUGCUUUAUUAUAA